Molecule: ribosomal RNA, 475 nt
Filed under: uncultured bacterium
Lineage: Bacteria
Description: bacterial SSU rRNA
Rfam family: Bacterial small subunit ribosomal RNA
Source: RNAcentral
ACUCCUACGGGAGGCAGCAGUGGGGAAUUUUGGACAAUGGGCGCAAGCCUGAUCCAGCAAUGCCGCGUGAGUGAAGAAGGCCUUCGGGUUGUAAAGCUCUUUUGUCAGGGAAGAAACGGCUGUGGCUAAUAUCCACGGCUAAUGACGGUACCUGAAGAAUAAGCACCGGCUAACUACGUGCCAGCAGCCGCGGUAAUACGUAGGGUGCAAGCGUUAAUCGGAAUUACUGGGCGUAAAGCGUGCGCAGGCGGUUUUGUAAGUCUGACGUGAAAUCCCCGGGCUCAACCUGGGAAUUGCGUUGGAGACUGCAAGGCUAGAAUCUGGCAGAGGGGGUAGAAUUCACGUGUAGCAGUGAAAUGCGUAGAGAUGUGGAGGAACACCGAUGGCGAAGGCAGCCCCCGUGGGCUCGAAGAUUGACGCUCAUGCACGAAAGCGUGGGGAGCAAACAGGAUUAGAUACCCUGGUAGCGUCGUCU